AUAUAUAUAUAUAUAUAUAUAUAUGCAUGGAACAUAAAAAUGAAUUCAGGAGUAAGGACUCUUCAAAUUAGAUUAGAAAGAUAAAUCAAAGCAAGAAAUUUCACUAAAGAUACUACAAUGCAUGGACCAAGAUUAUGUGCGAAUAAACAAAAUAAUAUAAGAAUCAAAAUAAGAAAAGAAAUGAAGACUAUGAUGAGAAGCAUAUCAAAGGAGACGAAUAUUAACAAAUUUAUGGAACUGAAAGAUGAUUAUUUUGAAUGGGUGCUUAGAAGAUAUAUAUAAUUUUUUAGUUGUUGUUCUUUUUAUAGUGAAAAAGAAAUAUUAUAUGGACCCAUUGAUACAGAAAUCAUGCAGGAAUCAAUACCAAUAUCGCAAUAAAAAAAUAGAUAGUAGUCAAAAUAUGAUACAUUAAGUGGAAAACUUAAUUUCAGGGUUGUUAAAUGUACUGGAAGAACUUAUACCAGAUGUUCCGGGACUUGCUGCAAAAAAUUCGGGAACGUGUAGAUGUGGCAUGAAAAUAAUGCUGUGAUAAAAGAAAAAAAUUUCUUAUACAUACAACCCCUCAUUUCUGGUUAAUAGGCCUUUGAAGUUGCAAAAUCAGAAUUUAUAUUUUCUAAAUUAUACAUUCAAACAUCAUGAAUUUUUGAUGGAUGAUUACAAACGUCCAUGUAUUGUGUUUGACGGAAUAAAUAAUUCUACACUACUAUCUGAAAGCCAGGGGCGACUCAUACACAAUGAUUAAGUCCGGUUUCCUUGGCAUGUACAAUGAUCUAAAGACUACUUACCUUGUAAACCAUAAAUUUUAACGAGUUAAACAUAGUACCUUCUUGUGGGAAAAAGCAAUGAAAAAUGUAUUUUUGCUAUCUUUAGAUUGUACAGGUUGUCCCUGUAAAAGUUACGAAUUAUUAACCAUUGGACUUAAGCCGCCCUUGGCCUUCAGAGAUUAGUGUAGAAUUAUUUAUUCCAUCAAACACACUACAUGGACGUACGUAAUCAUACAUUAAAAAUUCCUAAUAUUCGAAUGUAUACUUUAGAAAAUAUAAGUUCUAAUUUUGCAACUUCAAAGGCCUAUAAUUCAGAAACGAGGUGUCGUAUGAGAAAAUAUUUUUGUCACAGCAUUAUUUUCCACUCGUUCCCGAAUUUUUUGCAUAAAAUCCCAGAACACUCUGUGGAUGAAAAUAUGUGGAAGAUUAUUGAUCGAAAGACCAAAUACCAAUAUCACAGAAAAGAUACUAUGGAAAUACAGAACAAAGUUGAAGAUAUUACAGAUAACUAAUAAAUAAUUGAGAUGGGGAAAUUUAGGGUAAAAGGUAUGGUAAUGUACCGACAAAGAAGAUUUAAGAAUAGAUAAGCCUUUGAAAAUUUUCACUACAAAGAUUAUACAGGGUGAUUCAUUAAGAAUGUCCAAUCUCUGAACUGUAGAUUCUAGACCUCAAAAUAUGGUGAUUCUGCUCAACAUGCCUUAUGCAAAUAUUGCUAGUUUCCGAGAUACGGGGUGUUCAAAGUUAAUUAUUAUAAUAUAAUAAUUAAUAAAAGAUCUUUACGAAAGCGGAUCAUAAAGUGUAUUGAAGUAAACGGCGGGCAUAUAACAAAGCAAAUAACUCUAUAACAGAUUGAGUUACACGAAUCAAAGAAGAGUAACUUUUUUGGUAGAAUUUAACGCUUUUUAAUAUUUUUUCAUUAUUUUAGUUUUUUAUCCCAAAAAAAGUUUACUUUGAUUUAAUUAACACAAACAAAUGUAACUAGCGCCAUCUAUUAGCAAUGUUAAAAUAACGUGAAUUUUCCAAUUUUCAAAGAGAAAUUGUGAAAACAUAAACAAUUAUUGCGAAAAUCAAAACACCCCGUAUCACGGAAACUAGCAAUAUUUGCAUAAGGCAUGUUGAGCAGAAUCAUCAUAUUUUGAGGUCUAGAAUCUACAGUCAGAGAUUGGACAUUCUUAAUGAAUCACCCUGUAUUAAAUAUUUCAAGAAGAAACGAGGAGUAAUCAUAAGAAAAGAGUUUUAAUAUUUUAGUAAUUUCUUCAUAUAUAUUGUGAUUUGUAGAAGAUAUGAAUUAGAAACUUAGAAAUGUGCAAGCCGCGAACUUUAAUGGUUUUAUCGAGCAUAUUAAAAAUUUUGACUGGGGUUCCUCUAACAAUACCGAACCCAGUAAAAAAAGAGAAAUGUAUUACCCGAAUAAAAAGUUAGUAAGAGUUAUAAUAUAUUUUUUUAAUUACUAUAUAAUUAAAUAUAUUUUUUUAGAAAUCCACCUAGUAUAAACAUGCUAAAACACCACUCAAUUUGUGUUAAUUAAUUUUUUAAAUUCGCCAAAUGAGAAAAGUGCGAAGGAAAAUUAACAUAAGUGUAAAUUUUUAGUGUGAACUAAUUAAAAUUUUUAUUUAUU
Molecule: long non-coding RNA, 2382 nt
Organism: Diorhabda sublineata
Lineage: Eukaryota; Metazoa; Arthropoda; Insecta; Coleoptera; Chrysomelidae
Exons: 3
Source: RefSeq, a predicted model, not a curated record